UACGGAGGAUGCAAGCGUUAUCCGGAAUGAUUGGGCGUAAAGCGUCCGCAGGUGGUUAAGAAAGUCUGCUGUUAAAGAGUGAGGCUUAACCUCAUAAGGGCAGUGGAAACUAAUUGACUAGAGUACGUUCGGGGCAAGGGGAAUUCCCAGUGUAGCGGUGAAAUGCGUAGAGAUUGGGAAGAACACCGGUGGCGAAAGCGCCUUGCUAGGCCGUAACUGACACUGAGGGACGAAAGCUAGGGGAGCGAAUGGG
This 253-nucleotide ribosomal RNA is filed under the name uncultured bacterium. RNAcentral's name for it is "partial 16S ribosomal RNA". It matches the Rfam family "Bacterial small subunit ribosomal RNA", at positions 524 to 776 of the family's 1533-position model. The record is from RNAcentral.